GGUUGAGUGGUCUAGUGGUUAUGAUCUCUGUCUCACAAGUUUGUUAGGUCACAGAGGGUCCCCAGUUCGAUCCUGGGUUCAACCA
Coprinopsis sp. MPI-PUGE-AT-0042 is the source of this 85-nucleotide non-coding RNA. The record is from the annotation of a GenBank genome assembly. NCBI's taxonomy places the organism in Eukaryota, Fungi, Basidiomycota, Agaricomycetes, Agaricales, Psathyrellaceae.